UAUACUAUUCGGUAAAAAAUGAUAAUUUUGAUUAAACAUUAUUCAUUUUAAACUAUCCCAAGAUGCACUUUUCCAAGAUUUAGCGGGUUCUGAUUGGUCAGUAUUGGCGCACUUUAUGAUUCCGAGCGAAGGUUAAAAUGGACAAGAAGGUGCUGUUGUAAAAUGGAGAAUUGAGAAGCAUUAAUAGCCUCUACAACAAGGAAAUAAUGCAGGAACGAAGAACUCAUGUCAAGCAUUGACAGCAUACAAAGUCAAUGUUUCCGGUGAUUAGUUGUAUCCUCUGUUCGGUGAUUCGGGUGAAUGUUUUGACCAGCUGGACGAUGUGAACGCAAGAUAAAUAGAACAGACAUAAAGUACAGCCCAGUGAAAGGAACAAGUUCAUCGCAAGAAGAAGAAUUUUAAUGCUAACACUGUCCAGAACUACUAAGUCUGCUGUAGCCAUGAUGUGAUCAUAUGAGUGCUUCACUGGUCUGGGCAAUGCCCGAAAGUCCCCCAAAAAGGCCUACUUCCAUAAACUACGACUCGGGUUACAUCAACAACAGCCAAGGACACUCCUUAUUGAUUCGAAUGGACACAUCUUUACGACCCGACUAAACCUCUGCAGAACAAGACUUUUUAACUGUAAAGUAUUCUCAUUUCAAAAAACCUAUAAACUAUAAACAUGCGCGGAUCCAGAAAUUUUUUCCAGGGGGGGUCCGAAGGAUAAUUGUGUUUGCCAGGAGGGGUCCGAGGCAUAUUUUCGCGAUAAUUUUACUAUGUAAAUUUAAUAAAUUUUCAUUUUCCAGGGGGGGUCGGGACCCCCCCGACCCCCCCUCUAGAUCCGCGCAUGAUAAAAGUACUUUUUUUAUAUGAUCAAAUACCAGUAUAUUACAAUGUCUGUCUGUAAGCUAGAAUCUUAGAAAAUCACAUGGUUUUGACUUAUUAAAUGAUUGAUUAGACCUUGCAGAUAUUAACUUUCAUUUUCUUAAAUAAUUUGUUAUAUUUGCAAAUAUUGCAUAAAAUAUUAGACUCCAUGUAACAUAUAUCCUCACACCUCCAAGUUGAUAAGUGUUAACUACUUUUUUUUUCCAUUUUCUUUGUUUUAACAUUUAUUGAUAACUUAGUUUUUAUUUGCAGCAAUAUAUGAAAAAUUAAGAAACCAAUCUUAAAUGUAAAAACACUGCAUUAGGAGAUGAAUACAUGGGUCAUAGAAAUGAUAAAAUACACCAAACAAUAUUCAAUUAUGUCGUAUAUGAAAAUAUAUAAAGACAACAUAUACCCCAUGUAUUACAAUUUUUAUAUAACAAAAUUACUUGGCUGGAAAGUUGUUUCCACGUGGGUUUUAUUUUAAUCUGUGUUAUGUAACUAAUAUAUAAUUGGAAUAGUUUUUAUAUCAUAAGUAAAAUGCUGGUAUUGAUGAGAAUUGUAAGGUGAAUGAUCUGUGUGAUAAUUUGUAUUUUAUACAUUCAUGCUACAAAAAGCAAGUACAUGUACAUGUAGUAAUACUUGUCAUAUAUAAACAAUGUAUAUUUUACUUCAUGUCUUGGAUUUAAAAAUAUUAAUGUAGGUAAAGUAGUGAAAUGUAGGAAGGUAAACCGUGUGUAAAGAAGAAUAUUCAUCAGGAAUGAAGUGUGUUGCAAUCAGCAUAAUUAAUUUAAAUUGUACAUCAUAUUUUUGCACAUGAUUUGACAGACUGCUCCAUUGUUAGCUUUUUAUUGGCCAACAAGCUUUUAAUAUCUCCCUCUGGGUCAUCUAUUAAAUACUGACAGGCUUAUGAUAUUAAAACCUGAUCAGUUGGUACAUCAUGGGUGGAAAUGAAAAGUUCACUUUGGACUUAAUGGAUUAUCAAAAAAAUGAUAUCAAAUCCUGUUCUAUUGUAAAACAUUAGAUUAUAUUACUAACAAAGGAAAGGUUUAUCCCAACUUGUAAGUGGGUCACUUUGACCUCAUUUUGGAAUUUAUUGACAUAUUCAAAUCAAAUCUGGGUCAUACCUCUAUAGUCAACUACUAUCUUGUAGUGUAUUUUUUUUUUUUAAAAGAUGGAUACUUUAGACUUUUCAAAAAUAUUUUAUGGUGUACAUA
Molecule: long non-coding RNA, 2060 nt
Organism: Magallana angulata
Lineage: Eukaryota; Metazoa; Mollusca; Bivalvia; Ostreida; Ostreidae
Exons: 3
Source: RefSeq, a predicted model, not a curated record